UAUUUUCAGGGCGGGGCGAAAUUCCCCACCGGCAGUAAAAGGCUGAGUCGCCUUAAAGUCUGCGAACCGCGCGAGCGGCUGAAUCGGUGAGAUUCCGAUACCGACGGUCAAAGUCCGGAUGAGAGAAAAUG
Molecule: non-coding RNA, 131 nt
Filed under: Candidatus Eubacterium faecavium
Lineage: Bacteria; Bacillati; Bacillota; Clostridia; Eubacteriales; Eubacteriaceae
Also listed under: 1 other name
Description: FMN riboswitch (RFN element)
Rfam family: FMN riboswitch aptamer (RFN element)
About the family: The RFN element is a highly conserved domain that is found frequently in the 5'-untranslated regions of prokaryotic mRNAs that encode for flavin mononucleotide (FMN) biosynthesis and transport proteins. This element is a metabolite-dependent riboswitch that directly binds FMN in the absence of proteins. In Bacillus subtilis, the riboswitch most likely controls gene expression by causing premature transcription termination within the 5' untranslated region of the ribDEAHT operon and precluding access to the ribosome-binding site of ypaA mRNA.
Source: RNAcentral